CCUACGGGAGGCAGCAGUGAGGAAUAUUGGUCAAUGGGCGCGAGCCUGAACCAGCCAAGUAGCGUGAAGGAUGACUGCCCUACGGGUUGUAAACUUCUUUUAUAAAGGAAUAAAGUGAGGCACGUGUGCCUUUUGUAUGUACUUUAUGAAUAAGGAUCGGCUAACUCCGUGCCCGCAGCCGCGGUAAUACGGGGGAUCCGAGCGUUAUCCGGAUUUUUUGGGUUUAAAGGGAGCGUAGAUGGGUUAUUAAGUCAGUGGUGAAAAUUUUCGGCUCAACCGUAAAAUUGCAAUUGAUAAUGGCAGUCUUGAGUACAGUUGAGGUAGGCGGAAUUCGUGGUGUAGCGGUGAAAUGCUUAGAUAUCACGAAGAACUCCGAUUGCGAAGGCAGCUUACUAAACUGCCACUGACAUUGAUGCUCGAAAGUGUGGGUAUCAAACAGGAUUAGAUACCCUGGUAGUC
RNAcentral lists this ribosomal RNA (459 nucleotides) under uncultured bacterium. RNAcentral describes it as "partial 16S ribosomal RNA". It matches the Rfam family "Bacterial small subunit ribosomal RNA", at positions 338 to 795 of the family's 1533-position model. The record is from RNAcentral.